Molecule: ribosomal RNA, 460 nt
Filed under: uncultured bacterium
Lineage: Bacteria
Description: partial 16S ribosomal RNA
Rfam family: Bacterial small subunit ribosomal RNA
Source: RNAcentral
CCUACGGGUGGCAGCAGUGAGGAAUAUUGGUCAAUGGACGAGAGUCUGAACCAGCCAAGUAGCGUGAAGGAUGACUGCCCUAUGGGUUUUAAGCUUCUUUUAUAAAGGAAUAAAACAAGGCACGUGUGCCUUUUUGCAUGUCCUUUAUGAAUAAGGCUCGGCUAACUCCGUGCCAGCAGCCACGGUAAUACGGAGGAUCCGAGCGUUAUCCGGAUUUAUUGGGUGUAAAGGGAGCGUAGAUGGGAUGUUAAGUCAGUUGUGAAAGUUUGCGGCUCAACCGCAAAAUUGCACUGGAUACUGGCAGGCUUGAGUACAGUUGAGGUAGGCGGAAUUCGUGGUGUAGCGGUGAAAUGCUUAGAUAUCACGAAGAACCCCGAUUGCGAAGGCAGCUUACUAAACUGUGACUGACAUUGAUGCUCGAAAGUGUGGGUAGCAAACAGGAUUAGAUACCCUUGUAGUC